This 407-nucleotide ribosomal RNA is filed under the name uncultured bacterium. Its description in RNAcentral is "partial 16S ribosomal RNA". It matches the Rfam family "Bacterial small subunit ribosomal RNA", at positions 30 to 526 of the family's 1533-position model. The record is from RNAcentral.
AUUGAACGCUAGCGGGAUGCCUUACACAUGCAAGUCGAACGGAGUGGCGAACGGGGGAGUAAUGUAUCGGAACGUGCACAGGAGCGGGGGAUAACUACGCGAAAGCGUAGCUAAUACCGCAUACUAUUGGAGCGGCCGAUGUCGGUUUAGCUAGUUGGAGGGGUAAGGGCUCACCAAGGCGACGAUCCGUAGCUGGUUUGGGAGGACGACCAGCCACACUGGGACUGAGACACGGCCCGGAGUCCUACGGGAGGCAGCAGUGGGGAAUUUUGGACAAUGGGGGAAACCCUGAUCCAGCCAUCCCGCGUGUGCGAUGAAGGCCUUCGGGUUGUAAAGCACUUUUGGCAGGAAAGCGGUACCUGCAGAAUAAGCACCGGCGAACUACGUGCCAGCAGCCGCGGUAAUUC